Molecule: ribosomal RNA, 443 nt
Filed under: uncultured bacterium
Lineage: Bacteria
Description: partial 16S ribosomal RNA
Rfam family: Bacterial small subunit ribosomal RNA
Source: RNAcentral
CCUACGGGAGGCAGCAGUGGGGAAUAUUGGGCAAUGGGCGCAAGCCUGACCCAGCAAAGCCGCGUGAAGGAAGAAGGCUUUCGGGUUGUUAACUUCUUUUAUCAGGGACGAAGCAAGUGACGGUACCUGAUGAAUAAGCCACGGCUAACUACGUGCCAGCAGCCGCGGUAAUACGUAGGGCGCAAGCGUUAUCCGGAUUUACUGGGUGUAAAGGUCGUGUAGGCGGGAGUGCAAGUCAGAUGGGAAAACGAUGGGCUCAACCCAUAGCCUGCCUUUGAAACUGUACUUCUUGAGAGCUGGAGAGGCAAUCGGAAUUCCGUGUGUAGCGGUGAAAUGCGUAGAUAUACGGAGGAACACCAGUGGCGAAGGCGGAUUGCUGGACAGUAACUGACGCUGAGGCGCGAAAGCGUGGGGAGCAAACAGGAUUAGAUACCCUUGUAGUC